UGCGGCGGUCAUGGCGGCGGGGAAACGCCCGGUCCCAUCCCGAACCCGGAAGCUAAGCCCGCCAGCGCCGAUGGUACUGCCAGGGAGACCUGGUGGGAGAGUAGGACGCCGCCGCGC
Molecule: ribosomal RNA, 117 nt
Organism: Actinospica robiniae DSM 44927
Lineage: Bacteria; Bacillati; Actinomycetota; Actinomycetes; Catenulisporales; Actinospicaceae
Source: Rfam